RNAcentral lists this ribosomal RNA (1383 nucleotides) under Acartia tonsa. Its description in RNAcentral is "bacterial LSU rRNA". It matches the Rfam family "Bacterial large subunit ribosomal RNA", at positions 596 to 2038 of the family's 2925-position model. Lineage: Eukaryota; Metazoa; Arthropoda; Copepoda; Calanoida; Acartiidae. The record is from RNAcentral.
ACGGCGUGCCUUUUGCAUAAUGAGCCUACGAGUUACUGUUACUAGCAAGGUUAAGAAUUUAAGGUUCGGAGCCGAAGCGAAAGCGAGUCUGAAUAGGGCGCUUAAGUUAGUAGUAGUAGACGCGAAACCGAGUGAUCUACCCAUGGGCAGGUUGAAGCUGUGGUAACACACAGUGGAGGACCGAACCAGUUGACGUUGAAAAGUCUUUGGAUGACCUGUGGGUAGGGGUGAAAGGCCAAUCAAACUCGGAAAUAGCUCGUACUCCCCGAAAUGCAUUUAGGUGCAGCGUUGAUUAAAAGUUUUAUAGAGGUAGAGCUACUGAUUGGAUGCGGGGGCUUCACCGCCUACCAAUUCCUGACAAACUCCGAAUGCUAUAAAAUGAUAAUCAGCAGUGAGGGCAUGGGUGCUAAGGUCCAUGUCCGAGAGGGAAAGAACCCAGACCAUCAGCUAAGGUCCCCAAAUAUAUGUUAAGUUGAAAAAACGAGGUUGAACUGCUUAGACAGCUAGGAUGUUGGCUUGGAAGCAGCCAUUCAUUUAAAGAGUGCGUAACAGCUCACUAGUCGAGCGGUUCGGCAUGGAUAAUAAUCGGGCAUAAACAUAUUACCGAAGCUAUGGCAUCGAAAGAUGGGUAGGGGAGCAUUCUAUAGGCGUUGAAGGUGUACUGCGAGGUAUGCUGGAGCGUAUAGAAAAGAAAAUGUAGGCAUAAGUAACGAUAAUGCGGGCGAGAAACCCGCACUCCGAAAGACUAAGGUUUCCUCAGCGAUGCUAAUCAGCUGAGGGUUAGUCGGGACCUAAGGCGAACCCGAAGGGGGUAGUCGAUGGACAACGGGUUAAUAUUCCCGUACCUGCUCACACUAAAAGUGACGGAGGCGUGUAGUUAGUGCGUACUGACGGAAUAGUACGUUGAACUAAGCGAAAGUUUAGGAUAGUACACAGAAACUUCGGUGGAUGUGAUAACCUAGCGAAGCGACUUCCAAGAAAAGCAAGUGAAGCAGCCCGUACCGUAAACCGACACAGGUAGUUGGGAUGAGAAUUCUAAGGUGCUCGAGAGAUUCAUGGCUAAGGAACUAGGCAAAAUAGACCUGUAACUUCGGGAGAAAGGUCGCCCCACUCCGGUGGGGCCGCAGUGAAAAGGUCCAGGCGACUGUUUAUCAAAAACACAGGGCUAUGCUAAAUUGAAAGAUGAUGUAUAUGGCCUGACACCUGCCCGGUGCUGGAAGGUUAAGUGGAGGGUUUAGCUUCGGCGAAGAUCUGAAAUGAAGCCCCAGUAAACGGCGGCCGUAACUAUAACGGUCCUAAGGUAGCGAAAUUCCUUGUCGGGUAAGUUCCGACCUGCACGAAUGGUGCAACGAUCUGGACACUGUCUCAGCCAUGAGCUCGGUG